ACUGCCUGAUGGAGGGGGAUAACUACUGGAAACGGUAGCUAAUACCGCAUAACGUCGCAAGACCAAAGAGGGGGACCUUCGGGCCUCUUGCCAUCGGAUGUGCCCAGAUGGGAUUAGCUAGUAGGUGGGGUAACGGCUCACCUAGGCGACGAUCCCUAGCUGGUCUGAGAGGAUGACCAGCCACACUGGAACUGAGACACGGUCCAGACUCCUACGGGAGGCAGCAGUGGGGAAUAUUGCACAAUGGGCGCAAGC
RNAcentral lists this ribosomal RNA (255 nucleotides) under Escherichia coli. Its description in RNAcentral is "partial 16S ribosomal RNA". It matches the Rfam family "Bacterial small subunit ribosomal RNA", at positions 125 to 382 of the family's 1533-position model. Lineage: Bacteria; Pseudomonadati; Pseudomonadota; Gammaproteobacteria; Enterobacterales; Enterobacteriaceae. The record is from RNAcentral.